Salvia miltiorrhiza (redroot sage) is the source of this 1281-nucleotide long non-coding RNA. RefSeq lists it as uncharacterized. The record is from RefSeq and is a predicted model, not a curated record. NCBI's taxonomy places the organism in Eukaryota, Viridiplantae, Streptophyta, Magnoliopsida, Lamiales, Lamiaceae. The transcript is spliced from 4 exons.
UAAUUUAAGUAAAAAUACACUUGUCUAAUUUAAUUAAAAAUCACAACAACAAAAAUACCUUACCCACCCAUCUCGCCCCUCUUUUUUACCCUGAACUGCCGUUCGCCCUUCCUCUGCUCUCCGUCGUGUCUGGUCGCCGUUGUCUGCCCUUCCGCUGCUCGCUGCACCGCCGCCAUCCUCUUUUCGCCGCAGCGCUGCCCCUGCUCUGCUCUCCGCGCCGUCGCCCCUGCUCUGCUCGAUACGGCGCCACCACUGAUCUGCUUGACGCAGCGUCGGUGAUUCUAUUUUCGCCGGAGCACCAAAGCUCAGCGAACUCGUGACCACCUUGCUGCGGCCGUCACCUUACCUUCGUUCAUUCUUCUCCUCUAUCUCCAGAGGGACCAUCACCCCCUUCAUCCUCAACGUUUACUGCAAUUCACUCAGCUAUAGAGGGUUCCAGCAUGGGUCUGUUUCAAACAAUAUCUUGAACCCAUCAAACUGAAUGAUGUCCAGGACAAGUAUGUGGAGCACUUUGCUGAUUUGGUUAAAAAAAAUGACUCAUGUUGAAGGAACUAAUGUUGAAGGCAUCUCACCUAAAUGGAGAUGUUCGUAUUUUGUACCUAGACCAGCGAGAUUUUGAGCAGAUUACAAAUCAAUUUGGUAUUUUUGAAUAAUGGAAGGUAAUGUUGUUAUAGUGGUUUUCUUGUCUUUUUUUUCAUCAAUAACUCGUGUUACAUCACCAAUUAGAAUUAGUCAAUUUAGGAUAUUUCUUGCCCAACUAUUACUGCAUUGAUCAAUUAAAUAUUGGAAUCUCUAUCCUUGCUAGUGUUUGUAUUACUUGAAGUUUGUUGCUGAUGGAUAGAAAUCCAAUAUGUCUGGCUGAAGUUUGUAAUUUUUCUUAAGCUAAUCUAUGUAUAAUCUGUGGUUCAGACACACCUGUGUUAAUAUUGAAUUUAUUAUUAUUAUUAUUUGAAAUGCUAUAAUCUUUGUCUUUGUGUUUGUGCUUUAGAGAAAAGGAACAAAUAUCACUUGCAAAAAGUUCUAGCUACUGAACAGGUACUCUUUUGUUGUUGUCCAAAGAGUGGAUGUAGACGAAAGCUAAUUGGAUAUCGAUGGUGAAUUUAUUGGAUCAUUGGUGGUGAAUGCUCAAGAUUGGAGAUUACAUUAGAGAUUUUUUAGUAGAUGAUUCAAAACGUAGUUAGAGACGAUACAAUUGUGGAUGUAAUGUUUUUUGAUGAAAUGUCAAACAAGAUAUUUGACUUUUAUGGUAUUAAUUGAGUUUUUAUUAAUGGCUUUUGAGAA